UACGAAUGGUGCUAACGUUGUUCGGAAUCACUGGGCUUAAAGCGCACGUAGGCGGCUUGGCCAGUCAGGUGUGAAAUCCCUCAGCUCAACUGAGGAAUUGUGCUUGAUACUACCAGGCUUGAGUAAGGUAGGGGGGCGUGGAACUUCGGGUGGAGCGGUGAAAUGCGUAGAUAUCCGAAGGAACGCCGGUGGUGAAAACGGCGCCCUGGGCCUUUACUGACGCUGAGGUGCGAAAGCUAGGGGAGCGAACGGG
RNAcentral lists this ribosomal RNA (253 nucleotides) under uncultured bacterium. Its description in RNAcentral is "partial 16S ribosomal RNA". It matches the Rfam family "Bacterial small subunit ribosomal RNA", at positions 524 to 776 of the family's 1533-position model. The record is from RNAcentral.